This 826-nucleotide ribosomal RNA is filed under the name uncultured Amoebophrya. Its description in RNAcentral is "partial Bacterial small subunit ribosomal RNA". It matches the Rfam family "Bacterial small subunit ribosomal RNA", at positions 21 to 892 of the family's 1533-position model. The record is from RNAcentral. Lineage: Eukaryota; Dinophyceae; Syndiniales.
GGCUCAGAUUGAACGCUGGCGGCAUGGCUAAAACAUGCAAGUCGAACGAUCCCUUCGGGGAGAGUGGCGAAAGGGCGAGGAAUAUAAUCGAAUGUGUCCUAAGGUUGGGGAUAGCUCUUGGAAACGAGAGGUAAUACCCAAUGUCCUCUACGGAGAAAAGGUUUACCGCCUUUGGAGCAGCGAUUAUCCUAUCAGGUAGUUGGUGAGGUAAAGGCUCACCAAGCCGAAGACGGGUAGCGGGUGUGAGAGCAUGACCCGCCGCAUCGGGACUGAGACACUGCCCGGACUCCUACGGGAGGCUGCAGUAACGAAUCUUCCGCAAUGGGCGAAAGCCUGACGGAGCAAUGCCGCGUGUGGGAUCAAGCAUCUUCGAUGUGUAAACCACUGUCAGAAUCUAGAAAUAAUGAUCAGAUUCAGAGGAAGGGCCGGCUAAUCUCGUGCCAGCAGCCGCGGUAAUACGAGAGGCCCGAGCGUUAUUCGGAAUCACUGGGCUUAAAGCGUACGCAGGCGGAUUUGUAGGUAUCUUGUGAAAUCCCACGGCUCAACCGUGGAACUGCAGGGUAAACCACAAGUCUUGAGACAAGUAGGGGUCAGUGGAACUAUGAGUGGAGCGGUGAAAUGCGUAGAUAUUCAUGGGAACGCCAAUGGCGAAGGCAGCUGACUGGGCUUGUUCUGACGCUCAGGUACGAAAGCGUGGGUAGCGAACGGGAUUAGAUACCCCGGUAGUCCACGCCGUAAACGAUGCACACUAGGUCGCGGUACCUCUCAUGGUUUCGCGGCCGAAGGAAAACUGGUAAGUGUGCCGCCUGGGGAGUACGGUCGCAAG